This 254-nucleotide ribosomal RNA is filed under the name uncultured bacterium. RNAcentral describes it as "partial 16S ribosomal RNA". It matches the Rfam family "Bacterial small subunit ribosomal RNA", at positions 524 to 776 of the family's 1533-position model. The record is from RNAcentral.
UACGUAGGGGGCAAGCGUUGUCCGGAUUUAUUGGGCGUAAAGAGCUCGUAGGCGGUUUGGUAAGUCAGGUGUGAAAUCUCCACGCUCAACGUGGAGGGGCCACCUGAUACUGCCAUGACUGGAGUCCGGUAGAGGAGUGUGGAAUUCCCGGUGUAGCGGUGAAAUGCGUAGAUAUCAAGAGGAACACCUGCGGCGAAGGCGGGUUGCUGGGCCGACACUGACGCUGAGGCGCGAAAGCUAGGGGAGCGAACAGG